Platichthys flesus (European flounder) is the source of this 955-nucleotide long non-coding RNA. RefSeq lists it as uncharacterized. The record is from RefSeq and is a predicted model, not a curated record. The transcript is spliced from 2 exons. Lineage: Eukaryota; Metazoa; Chordata; Actinopteri; Pleuronectiformes; Pleuronectidae.
GUUUGCUGCUGCUCCUCCCACCACUCAACAGCAGAGGGAGGAAAUGUGUUUGGCUGCAGCUUCCAACCCUAAAAUGAACCUGCUCAGAGUCCAGAGAGGAGCUGCAGCAGAACACAAGUCAUGGAAAUGAUCAUCAAAUACUCCUCCUGUUGAAAACAAUAGUUCCUCCUGGUUCUCUGUGAGAUGGGAUGUACUGAGUCCAGAUUCUGGCCGUGGUCCUGCUCACACAAACAGAUGGACGACGUCAUCGACGAACCGACAAGAGAAGAAACCAAAUCGUUCCUGGAGGACGUGAAGGAGCCUGAAGGUGUCCUCCGUCCAGAUGAGAUGGAGGCUGACACUCGCUCUCUGACUCUUCUCCCAGUCAGCGAGCCCGUACUGGAGCUGGCUCAGAAGAUGUCACAGGAUAUCGUGGCUCAGGCUCUGCAGCUCUUCUGGGAGGUGGAGAUUCAAUACAACAACCUGCCUUUCAUCGACAAUGACUGUGAUGGUGUUAUACGAGCUGGAGAAGAGAAGUUUGUGACUUAGCCGGGACGAAAAGAAAGAGUUUUACCACCAACAUGAUGCUGUAGAGCUGCAGGAAUUCAGCUUCUCUUCACAGAAACACGUCUGCAACAUGUUAUCAGAGUAUUUGAGGUAUUUGAGCUCCUCUCACAGCACUGCAACAUGUGAUUAUAUGUGUUGGACACAAUGGAGCUCUAUGACUCAGAGGAAUAAGACAAAUCAGGCUCUGGAUGCUCAGUUUAAAUAAUAAUAUAUUAUAAGUAAUAACUGGUGGAUGAUGCAACUCAAAGUUGUGUUUGCUCUUUCCAACAAAGUUUGAACCUUAACUAAAAUAUAUCACCUUAGGCCUUUUUAACAGCUUCAACAGUCACAUCUUUCUUUAUCCUUUUACCAAGUUUACACCAUGAGCUGAUGAAAUGAAAAUAAAGUCUAUAUCCCAAACUUCCACCCA